Molecule: long non-coding RNA, 681 nt
Filed under: Zostera marina
Lineage: Eukaryota; Viridiplantae; Streptophyta; Magnoliopsida; Alismatales; Zosteraceae
Description: long non-coding RNA (ZMAR_LNC001385)
Source: RNAcentral
CGACUGGAGAAAGCGGACCAGACAAAAUCUGAGGUGGUCAACCGUGCAACUGCGGAAGCUCAACGCGCAACUGAGGAAGCUCGACUUGCAACUGAAGAGCUUCAACGUGUGGUCACCCAUCUGGAGACACUCCAAGCCGAUUUUCUCGUCAACGUGCGAGAUUAUAAUGACUUGGUUGAUCUGGGUCCUCAUGUUUUCCCGGGCUUUGAAGCCGCAGAUGUUCAUGACUGGGUCCGUAAGAAUCCCAAAGAAGCCACCGAAAUUCGUGAUCGGGCGCUUGCAGAGGAAAGGGAUGAGGAGGAGAGAGAGAAUGAAGAGGAAGGGAUUCUACAGGCGCUGGCUGACAUUGAUACAGACUUUUCUAUAGAAGAUCAAGAUAACAAUGAUGCAGCGGGUUCUGAAGACAUUCCCCCCCUUCCUAAAAUAGAUUAGAUUAAGUUCUCUACUUUUGCUGUAACUCACAUUCCUCUGUAAUUCUUCUUUGUUAAAUCAAUAUAUGGGAUGUUUUUCGAGUGUUCUGAUUACUAAUAGUAGUUAAUUUACUAAACAGCAUAUUAGUUAAAUAGUUCGUACUAUUACAAGAGUAGUAACCUUACUUAAUUGUUUUAAAAGUACAACUGCAGAUUAUCUGCGUGCCACGUAUUGGGGAUGCCUGUUCCAUCUUCCCGCUUUAACCUGUAC